GACGAACGCUGGCGGCGUGCCUAAUACAUGCAAGUUGAGCGCUGAAGGUUGGUACUUGUACCAACUGGAUGAGCAGCGAACGGGUGAGUAACGCGUGGGGAAUCUGCCUUUGAGCGGGGGACAACAUUUGGAAACGAAUGCUAAUACCGCAUAAAAACUUUAAACACAAGUUUUAAGUUUGAAAGAUGCAAUUGCAUCACUCAAAGAUGAUCCCGCGUUGUAUUAGCUAGUUGGUGAGGUAAAGGCUCACCAAGGCGAUGAUACAUAGCCGACCUGAGAGGGUGAUCGGCCACAUUGGGACUGAGACACGGCCCAAACUCCUACGGGAGGCAGCAGUAGGGUAUCUUCGGCAAUGGACGAAAGUCUGACCGAGCAACGCCGCGUGAGUGAAGAAGGUUGUCGGAUCGUAAAACUCUGUUGGUAGAGAAGAACGUUGGUGAGAGUGGAAAGCUCAUCAAGUGACGGUAACUACCCAGAAAGGGACGGCUAACUACGUG
This 497-nucleotide ribosomal RNA is filed under the name uncultured bacterium. RNAcentral's name for it is "partial 16S ribosomal RNA". It matches the Rfam family "Bacterial small subunit ribosomal RNA", at positions 28 to 507 of the family's 1533-position model. The record is from RNAcentral.